AUGGAUUUGCAUAUCAAAUGAGGCCAUUUAUAUAUAAUGCAAAUUUCAAAGCUAGUGAAGAGACGACGAAGGCUACGACUUGGAUCUCUUUCCCUAAUUUGUUGCCAACUUUCUUUGUGAAGGAAGUAUUGUUCUCUCUUGCGUCUGUGGUUGGGAAACCCCUUCAGUUAGACCUGGCAACAAUAAAUAAGCCGCGUCCAAGUUGUGCAAGGGUGAAGGUCCAAGUGGAUUUGCUAGCUGAAAAACCUGAAUUUGUGCAGAUGCAGUUAGAUGAUGAGAACACUUUUGAGAAUAGAGUUGUUACAGUAAAAAUUCAGUAUGAUUCAUAACCAGCUUAUUGCAAAAAAUGUAAAUUACAGGGUCAUGGUGAAGACGAUUGCAGGAUACUUCAUCCAGAGUUGGUGCAACAAUAUGAGGACAAACAAAAAGCAAUACAACCAGUAUAUGAGAUGCAUUCUUACAAAGGAGCUGUAACGAGAAAAUGGAAGACUACUAAUAAAAAUUUUACAAAGAAUGCUGGAGAAUUAAUGAAUACUAAGGUUCAAGAGAGUGAGGGGACCCUCAAAAAUUCUUUUGAGGUGGUUGAUCAACCAAUAAUGAGAGAGGUGGAAAAUCAGUCAUAUUCUUCAAGGAGGAGUGGAGGGAGUAAGGAGUGAAUCUACUCAUGAGCCUAUUAAAGCUGGAGGUAAAAUGGAGGUUACAGUAGUAGAAGGUGGGGACAGUCAUGGAAGUGACAAGGGGCCUUUGGUAUAAAUGGAAGAUGCUAUAGUGAUUAAUGCAGGGGUCAAUGAUGAAGUGAAUUUGGAGAUAGUGAGGAUAGAAGAAAUAAUGCUGAGUUAGCUCAUCAACAGUUGCCCAGCGAGCAACUGGAAAGUUGCCUAGUUCAUGCUUCUUUUCAAAUUCCCCUAAAAAAAUUGGAUCCAAAAGAGGAGAGGUUUCCACCUCAUUUGCAGGGGUCUGUAAUAUUGACAAGGAAGGAGAAGGAACACAAAAAUCAGGAUAUGAAAAUAGUUUAUUUUAAAUCACAACAUGUUCAAACCUUACAUGAGAUGGUGUCACACUAAGGGGCAGUGGAGGGUCAAGAAAUGGUUAACAGUAAUGUAACAGAAAAGAGUGAAGAAGAAGAAGUUUUGCAGAUUACCUUUCAAGAAACAGGGAUCUCACAUUCAUCAUCAAUAACACUUAGAUGCAAAAGUAAAAGGGAAGCAUUACCUACAAGAUCAAAUCCUAGAAGGGGGACCAGGAAUGGGUCUAAAUGAUGAUAAAGACUUUGUUUUGGAAUGUGAGGUCUAUUAGAUCUCAAAAUUCAUUCCAUAGAAUUCAAAUGUUACACAGAUUUCACAAGUUUUCUAUCAUUGCUUUGAUGGAGCCUUUUCAAGAUAUUAAUAAUAUACAAAGAUUCAAAAUGAGACUGGGCAUGGAGUAUGUUAAUUAUAACUGUAAUGGCAAAAUUUGGAUAUUCAUUAAAGAGCAUAUUCAGGUGAAAGUGAUGGCUGAUACAGAACAGUUAUGGACUCUCAGAUUAAUUUUCCAGGAAACCAAUAUUCCAUUGAUUGUUUCUAUAGUUUAUGCCAAGUGUUGAUGCUGAGGUAAGGGUUCAAUUAUGGAAUGAGAUUUAUUAUAUUAGUAAUGCUAAUCAAAAUGCUCCUUGGUUGAUUGGGGGUGAUUUUAAUGUCAUUAUGAGUGAAGAGGAGAAGAUUGGUGGCUUGCCCGUAUAUCCUAAUGAGUAUGAGGAUUUUGCAUUUUGUGUAAAUUCUUGUGACUUGGUGGAAGUUAAUUAUAAAGGGAGCCCUUUUACAUGGUGGAAUGGGAGGAUUGAUAACCAGUGUAUAUUCAAAAGGCUGGAUAGAUACAUGAUGAAUAAUGACUUUAUGGGAGUCUUUGGGAUGCUAGAAGUAGAACAUUUGGCAAGAACAAUGUCUGAUCAUGCUCCUAUGUUACUCUCUUGUGGACAGAAGAAUAAUGUUCCUAGAAGACCUUUCAGGUUCCUUAAAUUUUGGACUGAAAGAUCAUAUUUCCAUCAAGUAGUGAAGGACAGUUGGGUUUCUGAAGAGGUUGAUGUGUUUAUAAAUUUGAAACAAAAGCUGAAAAAUACCAAAGCUGCCUUGUCUAGUUGGAGUAGAAUGACUUUUGGUGACAUUUUCAAAUAAGUUGUUAUCAGGGAGGAGAUUGUAAUGGUGAAUGAGCAAUUAUUUGAAGAAGCCCCCACUGCAGAUAAUAGAAGAACUCUACAUCAGGCUUAUGCAGAAUUAAAGAAAUAUGUACAUUUUGAGGAAGAGUAUUGGAGACAGAAAGCUGGAAUUCAAUGGUUUAUUGAAGGGGACAAAAAUACUAGAUUUUUUCACAGAUUGGUGAGAGGUAGAAGGAAAAGAAUGAGCUUCAACAAAAUUCAAAACAUAGACGGUGAAUGGAUGGAAGGGGAAGAACAGGUGGCAACACCUGCUCAGGAAUUUUUCAAGAAUCAAUUUACAGGCAACUAUAUUAUGGGGGAAAUCCCAAUAUUGAGAUAUGUUCAGAAGAGUGUUACUGAUGAUGGCAACUGCAAGUUAAAUGCACACCCUACUAAGGAUGAAAUUAAAAAAAAAAAAUGUUUGCUCUCAAUGGGGACAGUGCUAGUGGCCCUGAUGGGUUCACUGGUCAUUUUUAUCAACUAUGCUGGGAUAUUGUUGGUGAUGAUGUGGUUAAAGUAGUUGAUGCUUUCUUUUCAGGUGCUACACUUCCUAAGUCUAUUACUCAUACUAACCUGGUUUUAUUGCCUAAGAAAGAUGAUAUUCAAUCUUUUUCAGAUUUACGACUAAUUAGCCUGAGUAGUUUUCUUAACGAAGUAAUUUCAAAGGUGAUGAAUGAUAGAAUUGGAGUUCUCCUUCCCUCUUUGAUUUCACAAAACCAAUCAUUGAUUUUGUGAAAGGAAGAAGUAUAACAGAAAAUGUUUUGCUUGCUCAGGAGAUUAUUUUUUAUAUUGGUAAGAGAGGUAAACCUGCAAAUGUGGUGAUUAAGUUAGAUAUGGCAAAGACUUAUGAUAGAGUGGAGUGGAUUUUUUUGAUAAAGGUGUUGGAGAGAUUAGGUUUUGAUUCUGGUGUUAUGGAUAAAGUUUAGAGACUGGUUGCUAACAACUGGUACUCUAUUCUUAUAAAUGAGCAGGCUACUGGCUUUUUUCACUCAACUAGGGGAGUGAAGCAAGGGGACCCUCUAUCCCCUGCCUUGUUCAUUCUAACUGUUGAAGUUCUCUCUAGAAGCUUAAAUGCUUUGUGUUACAAUGAGGUCUACAAGGGUUAUGAAUUACCAAAAUGGAGUGAUAAUAUUAAUCAUCUUUCUUAUGCAUAUGAUGCUAUUAUUUUUACUUCAGCAUAUGGUACAUCUUUAGAGUUAUUGAUGACAACUCUGAGGGAUUAUGAGAAACAAUCAGGGCAGAUGAUUAAUAUACAAAAGAGCUCAUUCUUUGUUUUUCACAAUAUGGCAAAUGACUUGGUUUCUGACAUUGAAAUGAAGAUUGUUUUUUCUAGAUGGAGUUUUCCAAUUAUGUAUUUGGGUUGUCCCAUUGGUUAUGCCAAGAAGAAAAAAACACACUUUGCAGAAUUGAUGAAAAAUGUGCAUAACAAGCUUCAAGCUUGGAAAGGAAAGUUGUUAUCAUUUGGAGGUAAGGCUGUUCUAAUUCAAAAUGUGUUAAACAACAUCCAUUUAUAUAUCUCUUGUCUGCUAUUAUUCCUCCAAAAUGUGUUAUGCAUGAUUUGCAUAGAGUUUUUGCUAAUUUUUUUUUGGAGAUUUAGGGAUGUGGGCAGUAACAAGCACUGGGUGGUUUGGUCAGAGUUGUGUAAACCCAAGGAAGAAGGGGGUUUGGGAUUUAAAUCUCUUUUUGAUGUUUCUAGUUCCUUAAUUGCAAAACUAUGAUGGAUAUUUAGAACUCAGAAGUCUUUGUGGUCUAAUUUUAUAUGGAAUAAAUACUGUAAAAAGAGAGACCUGAAAUGGUGGAAUGGAAAAGGGGUUCUUUAACUUGGAAGUAUAUGCUGGAUGCUAGAGAUUUGAUUGAUCAACAUAUUUGGUGGGAACCAAAAUGUGGACAUUCAAGUAUUUGGUAUGAUAAUUGGUCACAAUUAGGGGCACUUCAUUACAUUAUGCCUAUUGACUCUGCUAGAAAUGUACAAUUGGAAGAGGUCAAACAGUGCUUUUUGAAUGGAGAGUGGAAUUCUAAUUUAUUGCAAUUAAGUUUUGGGGAAAAUUUCAGUAGACAUAUAAGUCAACUUCUUAGGAAUUCUGAGGACGAGGUGCAUUGGGAUAAACCUUGGUGGAUGUUGAAUGCUACUGGAAAGUUCACAAUUGGUUCUGCUUGGGAGUUUCUAAGGGAGAAAAAUGAAGCAUGUCUGAACUACAAACAUAUUUGGAUUGCAGGAAUUCCUUUUAAGGUUUCAUUCCUUACUUGGAGAAUAUGGCAACACAGGUUUCCAAUUGGUGAAGUUCCUGUUAGAAAUAGAAUGUGUGAUGGGGUGGAAUGUGAAUGCUGUGCAGAUGGAGCUCAUGAGACUAUUGAACAUUUAUUUAUUAGAUGUUCAGAUACUAAUUCAAUAUGGACAUACUUUGCAGGUACAAUAGGAGUGGAGGGUCCUUUUAUUCAUUUGAAAGACACUGUGUAUAAAUGGUGGAAUGCAAAAUGUUCUGUAGAACUUAAACCUCUGAUAAUGGCUAUUUCAAUGUUUAUUUUUUGGCAAGUAUGGAAAAGAAGAAAGGUUAAGAAGUUUGGUGGUUGUAUGUCUUAUAUGAGCAUAAGGGGAGGGAUUUGCAGUAAUUUAAUACUAUUGGCUAAGCAGAGAUAUCCAUGGAUGCAUAAUAUGCCCAAUAAUUGGCCUGAAAUUGUACGAUUCUUGACUGAAUAUAGUCCUACGGUAGGCUGUAAAGUGGUUUACUGAAAGUUACAUAUGCAAAAUUACUUUAAGUGCAAUACAGAUGAAGCUUCCAAAGGCAACCCUGGAUCAAGCUCUUCUGCUUUCUGUGCUAGAGAUGAUCAAGACAAUCUAGUAUAUGCUGAAGGAAAAAGGAUUGGAGUGUCAAACAAUUUAAAAGCUGAAAUAGUAGCUAUGAGACUAGGACUGGAAUAUUGUAGGAUUCACAGUCUAUUUCCUUUGGUUCUGGAAACAAAUUCAUCAGUUGUUAAAAAGAUGGUAGAAGGAGAAUGGUACUUUCCUUGGGAGGUGUCACUUGAGAUUAACAGAAUACGAGUUCUUAAGGAAGGAUUGGACGUGGCCAUUGAACACACAUUGCGAGAAGGGAACAAGCUGGCAGAUUUUAUGGCUAACAUUGUGUUUUCUUUUGCAGGUACAAAUUUCAUUAGUUAUAAUAAUUUUCAAGCAUUACCUAGGGAAGCUAAGGCAUUAUUAAACAUGGACAAAAGUCAGAUUCCUAAUCUAAGGGUUACUAUGCUGGAAAAUGGAAAUUUUUCACAUAAUGGAUGAACCAAUAUCAACAGUCUGGUUACAGUGGUAUAUGAUACCAAAAAUCAAGACAUUGCAAACACAUGUUGGAAUUUAAAGGUUAAGCUAAUAACACAAACAGAGUCACGCAACAACAGUAGCACAGAAUCACAGAUUACCUGAAGGAGAUCAUUGUAGCUUUGUCCUAAAGUUGUAGUCAGUGGUAUUAGCUCCUUGUUGAGCUCAAUCUGACACAACUAAGGGAUGAAACAUACGAGGGUCGAAAUCAGGUAAAAUUAACAGUGAAAAUAGAAUAUGAAAGUGAGGGAGUGUCGCCACCUGACCUGAACGUCAAUUGAAUAUCGUUGAGUUGGAGAAGUCUUCGGUUGGGAUGAUUUCAUGAUGUUAGUGAGACUUGUUAACGUCUGAUAUGAAAUACACCCAUAGCUUGAUGUACCAAUUUAGUUGUUCCAGGUUCAUGGCGAUGGGAUAAAGCUUUCAAUUGCAAUGGGAACUGCAGCUAGGGCUAUUCUGGAGAAGAAGACCCGUCCCUUUCCCUUUCC
RNAcentral lists this long non-coding RNA (5965 nucleotides) under Solanum tuberosum (potato). RNAcentral describes it as "long non-coding RNA (STUB_LNC007499)". The record is from RNAcentral. Lineage: Eukaryota; Viridiplantae; Streptophyta; Magnoliopsida; Solanales; Solanaceae.